RNAcentral lists this transfer RNA (72 nucleotides) under Salmo salar (Atlantic salmon). It matches the Rfam family "tRNA". From Rfam's summary of the family: Transfer RNA (tRNA) molecules are approximately 80 nucleotides in length. Their secondary structure includes four short double-helical elements and three loops (D, anti-codon, and T loops). The record is from Rfam by way of RNAcentral. Lineage: Eukaryota; Metazoa; Chordata; Actinopteri; Salmoniformes; Salmonidae.
UCUUGCGUGGCUCAGUUGCUAGAGCAUGGCACUUGCAACGCCAGGGUUAUGGGUGUGAUUCCCACGGAGGAC